Molecule: transfer RNA, 74 nt
Filed under: Planctomycetaceae bacterium
Lineage: Bacteria; Pseudomonadati; Planctomycetota; Planctomycetia; Planctomycetales; Planctomycetaceae
Description: tRNA-Thr
Rfam family: tRNA
About the family: Transfer RNA (tRNA) molecules are approximately 80 nucleotides in length. Their secondary structure includes four short double-helical elements and three loops (D, anti-codon, and T loops).
Source: RNAcentral
GCCGAUGUAGGUCAAGAGCAGACUGCCUGUUUCGUAAACAGGCGAUGCGGGUGCAAUUCCCGCCGUCGGCUCCA